RNAcentral lists this ribosomal RNA (711 nucleotides) under uncultured bacterium. RNAcentral describes it as "bacterial SSU rRNA". It matches the Rfam family "Bacterial small subunit ribosomal RNA", at positions 565 to 1284 of the family's 1533-position model. The record is from RNAcentral.
GGGUCCGUAGGCGGUUUGAUAAGUCAGUGGUGAAAGCCCAUCGCUCAACGAUGGAACGGCCAUUGAUACUGUCAGACUUGAAUUACUAGGAAGUAACUAGAAUAUGUAGUGUAGCGGUGAAAUGCUUAGAUAUUACAUGGAAUACCAAUUGCGAAGGCAGGUUACUACUAGUGGAUUGACGCUGAUGGACGAAAGCGUGGGGAGCGAACAGGAUUAGAUACCCUGGUAGUCCACGCCGUAAACGAUGGAUACUAGCUGUUGGGCGCAAGUUCAGUGGCUAAGCGAAAGUGAUAAGUAUCCCACCUGGGGAGUACGUUCGCAAGAAUGAAACUCAAAGGAAUUGACGGGGGCCCGCACAAGCGGUGGAGCAUGUGGUUUAAUUCGAUGAUACGCGAGGAACCUUACCAAGGCUUAAAUGUAGAUUGACAGGUUUGGAAACAGACUUUUCUUCGGACAAUUUACAAGGUGCUGCAUGGUUGUCGUCAGCUCGUGCCGUGAGGUGUCAGGUUAAGUCCUAUAACGAGCGCAACCCCUGUUGUUAGUUGCCAGCGAGUCAAGUCGGGAACUCUAACAAGACUGCCAGUGUAAACUGUGAGGAAGGUGGGGAUGACGUCAAAUCAUCACGGCCCUUACGCCUUGGGCUACACACGUGCUACAAUGGACGGUACAGAGAGCAGCCACUACGCAAGUAGGAGCGAAUCUAUAAAACCG